GGGCCCGCACAAGCGGUGGAGCAUGUGGUUUAAUUCGAUGCAACGCGAAGAACCUUACCUGGUCUUGACAUCCACGGAAGUUUUCAGAGAUGAGAAUGUGCCUUCGGGAACCGUGAGACAGGUGCUGCAUGGCUGUCGUCAGCUCGUGUUGUGAAAUGUUGGGUUAAGUCCCGCAACGAGCGCAACCCUUAUCCUUUGUUGCCAGCGGUCCGGCCGGGAACUCAAAGGAGACUGCCAGUGAUAAACUGGAGGAAGGUGGGGAUGACGUCAAGUCAUCAUGGCCCUUACGACCAGGGCUACACACGUGCUACAAUGGCGCAUACAAAGAGAAGCGACCUCGCGAGAGCAAGCGGACCUCAUAAAGUGCGUCGUAGUCCGGAUUGGAGUCUGCAACUCGACUCCAUGAAGUCGGAAUCGCUAGUAAUCGUGGAUCAGAAUGCCACGGUGAAUACGUUCCCGGGCCUU
This 465-nucleotide ribosomal RNA is filed under the name uncultured bacterium. RNAcentral's name for it is "bacterial SSU rRNA". It matches the Rfam family "Bacterial small subunit ribosomal RNA", at positions 917 to 1382 of the family's 1533-position model. The record is from RNAcentral.